Molecule: ribosomal RNA, 520 nt
Filed under: uncultured eubacterium WJGRT-24
Lineage: Bacteria
Description: bacterial SSU rRNA
Rfam family: Bacterial small subunit ribosomal RNA
Source: RNAcentral
GCGGCAGGCUUAACACAUGCAAGUCGAGCGGAGACUUCGGUCUUAGCGGCGAACGGGUGAGUAAUACCUAGGAAUCUGCCUAUUAGUGGGGGAUAACGGCUCGAAAGGGUCGCUAAUACCGCAUACGUCCUACGGGAGAAAGUGGGGGAUCUUCGGACCUCACGCUAAUAGAUGAGCCUAGGCCGGAUUAGCUAGUUGGUAGGGUAAAGGCCUACCAAGGCGACGAUCCGUAGCUGGUCUGAGAGGAUGAUCAGCCACACUGGAACUGAGACACGGUCCAGACUCCUACGGGAGGCAGCAGUGGGGAAUAUUGGACAAUGGGCGCAAGCCUGAUCCAGCCAUGCCGCGUGUGUGAAGAAGGCCUUCGGGUUGUAAAGCACUCUAAGCGAGGAGGAAGGUCUUUGAACUAAUAUUUCAAAGAAUUGACGUUACUCGCAGAAUAAGCACCGGCUAACUCUGUGCCAGCAGCCGCGGUAAUACAGAGGGUGCCAGCGUUAAUCGGAAUUACUGGGCGUAAAGC